Molecule: long non-coding RNA, 743 nt
Organism: Oncorhynchus tshawytscha (Chinook salmon)
Lineage: Eukaryota; Metazoa; Chordata; Actinopteri; Salmoniformes; Salmonidae
Source: Ensembl
UUUUUAUCUGUGUCAGACUUAACUGAGUAUUUGAAUGGGUCACUGUUUGGAAUGAAGUGUGCAUACGCUGUCUAUUUUAGGACAUCUUCAGGGAUGUAUGGACACUCAGUCAUCUGCUCCUCUUGUUGUGUUUUCAGGGAUGAAGAGAAGAUGGCUACUGGAUGUUCUCUGGACUGGAUCCUGUAUCAGCAGCAGCAGUGGAAGAUCCAUUUUAGAUCUGGCUAUCAUCAAUAUCAUUUAUUAAUAUCAGAAUACAGACCUUUAGACUAAUGUGAGGAGUGUUGUCCAGUGUUCCUCAGCCCCUUCUGGACAGGUACAUAAUGGGACACUUCACGUUUCCUCAGUCCCUUCUGGACAGGUACAUAAUGGGACACUUCACGUUUCCUCAGCCCCUUCUAGACAGGUACAUAAUGGGACAGUUCACGUUUCCUCAGCCCCUUCUGGACAGGUACAUAAUGGGACACUUCACGUUUCCUCAGUCCCUUCUGGACAGGUACAUAAUGGGACAGUUCACGUUUCCUCAGCCCCUUCUGGACAGGUACAUAAUGGGACAGUCCACUUUUCAUCACAUCCCCCAUGGAAAGUUACAGUCCACUUUAACCACCAACACCCCUUGCCUCCAUAACGUACAUGGGACAGUCUCACAUUUCUUCUAGAAUAAGACAUGACAGUCAUCCACUCCAGUUCACCCAAUGGGAUUCCAACAGAAUGACUUAUUCUACUGCACAUGUCUAAAGCACUGC